UGACGUCAAACCAUCAUGCCCCUUAUGACCUGGGCUACACACGUGCUACAAUGGGCGGUACAAAGGGUCGCGAACCCGCAGGGGAGCCAAUCCCAAAAAGCCGCUCUCAGUUCGGAUUGCAGGCUGCAACUCGCCUGCAUGAAGCCGGAAUCGCUAGUAAUCGCGGAUCAGCAUGCCGCGGUGAAUACGUUCCCGGGCCUU
This 201-nucleotide ribosomal RNA is filed under the name uncultured Anoxybacillus sp. RNAcentral's name for it is "partial 16S ribosomal RNA". It matches the Rfam family "Bacterial small subunit ribosomal RNA", at positions 1180 to 1382 of the family's 1533-position model. Lineage: Bacteria; Bacillati; Bacillota; Bacilli; Caryophanales; Anoxybacillaceae. The record is from RNAcentral.